CACAGAUGAAUCUAUUGCCUGGGAAACUGGAGCACCCCACCUGCGUCCUGCCCUGCCCUGCCCUCAGCAGUGACACACACUUGGACUCGUCUGGCUUUGAUGCAGAAAAGGUUAUGAGAGUUAAACAAAGCACCACUCCUUCCAAGAGCUCCAAAUGCCAGCAUGGCUGGAAGAAGCUGAUGGAGGGAGGAGGAUGGAAGGGGCAGAGGAGGGGGAAGUUUUCAGCCAGAACCCAGGAGCCAGAGUUGUUCCUCAGGAGCUCAGGAAACAGGGUGAGGGAAACACUGCUUGAUGAAUGGAACAGCACCCAGGAGGUGAGGAGUGGUGGAAUUGCCACAGAUUACCAAGAUAAUCCUGUGACCUGCCUGCCCAACACACAGAGGUUUUAGUGGCAGCUCUUCAGAGAGCAUGCCACUACUAGUGGAAUAGUUUUUCACAGCUUGGAAUCAUGAUCACCACCACCAAAAAGUAAAAGGCUAUGAGACUAAAAGGAGUGAGAAAAUUCUUCCUGAGUGAGCUGAGGAAACAGUUGUACCAAGCCUGACACCCCUUUGCUGGGACAGUUGUAAGAAGCAUCCUCCAUCAUGUCCAGACAGAGUUUCCUGUCUCGAGAACAAAUUGUCCAGCACUAGUUCUCUGGGAAACACCAGGGAAAAAAGUGAAACACCAAAUUGAUUCCAAGGAUGAUUUUCUUCCAUGAAAUGAAGAUAAAUAAUUCUGCUGCUUUAUGACUGGUGGUUUUACUGUGAGGUAUUGCACAACAGGAAUAAAUAAUGUUCAAGUAUGACUGCAUCCAGUUUUAUCUGCCUUUGUUUUCCUUAGCUCAUUUUGUCUCAGAGAAGGUUGGUUAUCAAGAACAAAAGACUUUUAGGUCUGCAGACUACGUGCACAUGAACCAUUCUCACCUGCCUGCUGUAACAGGCAUGUGGAAUACAUAUUGAACUCAUUCUUCAUAGUGUUUUGUCUCAUAACAUUUGGAAUUUAAGUAAGCUUUGUACCUUAAUAAAUAAAUAUUGAGCUAAUUGCAUUAAUAAACACAAAACAAAAGGCAGAAAAUACCCUUCCUAUCCUGCAUGUGGACAGCCUCAGGUCCCAGUAUGGGCUGGAGGAUGACCAUGGGCAGGGCCCAUGGGGUUAAUCAGAGCAGCUGGACAUUCUGUGCACCAGGGCCCAGAAGCCCCAGCCUGGGCUGCAGAGGCCCAUGUCUCCCAUCUCUCUGCCUGGUUGAUCUGCCCCUUCUUCCAUGUUUUUAGCAGGGUUUGCCAUGCACUUUUUCUAUCCAGGUGCUCUCUGCCUUAGUGCCAUCCCAAGAGACAGGAGAGACUUGACCUCCACAAAACUGCUGCCUGC
Molecule: long non-coding RNA, 1350 nt
Filed under: Taeniopygia guttata (zebra finch)
Lineage: Eukaryota; Metazoa; Chordata; Aves; Passeriformes; Estrildidae
Description: lncRNA (ENSTGUG00000029420.1)
Source: RNAcentral